UACGUAGGGGGCAAGCGUUGUCGGAAUUAUUGGGCGUAAAGAGCUCGUAGGCGGUUUGUCGCGUCUGCUGUGAAAACUGGAGGCUCAACCUCCAGCCUGCAGUGGGUACGGGCAAACUAGAGUGCGGUAGGGGAGAUUGGAAUUCCUGGUGUAGCGGUGGAAUGCGCAGAUAUCAGGAGGAACACCGAUGGCGAAGGCAGGUCUCUGGGCCACUACUGACGCUGAGAAGCGAAAGCAUGGGGAGCGAACAGG
RNAcentral lists this ribosomal RNA (252 nucleotides) under uncultured bacterium. RNAcentral describes it as "partial 16S ribosomal RNA". It matches the Rfam family "Bacterial small subunit ribosomal RNA", at positions 524 to 776 of the family's 1533-position model. The record is from RNAcentral.